AUACGGAGGAUGCAAGCGUUAUCCGGAUUUAUUGGGUUUAAAGGGUGCGUAGGCGGUUUGCUAAGCGGGAGGUGAAAUGCCGGCGCUCAACGUCGGAAGUGCCUCCCGAACUGGUGGACUGGACUGACUCUGCCGUGGGAGGAAUGUGUAGUGUAGCGGUGAAAUGCUUAGAGAUUACACAGAACACCGAUUGCGAAGGCAUCUCACGAAGGGUUGAUUGACGCUGAGGCACGAAAGCGUGGGGAUCAAACAGGAUUAGAUACCCUGGUAGUCCACGCAGUAAACGAUGAUGGCUAACCGCUGGUUUAUUCGGAUCAGUGGCCAAGCGAAAGCGAUAAGCCAUCCACCUGGGGAGUACGACCGCAAGGUUGAAACUCAAAGGAAUCGACGGGG
RNAcentral lists this ribosomal RNA (393 nucleotides) under uncultured bacterium. RNAcentral describes it as "partial 16S ribosomal RNA". It matches the Rfam family "Bacterial small subunit ribosomal RNA", at positions 523 to 918 of the family's 1533-position model. The record is from RNAcentral.